This is a long non-coding RNA of Zootoca vivipara (common lizard), 660 nucleotides long. RefSeq lists it as uncharacterized. NCBI's taxonomy places the organism in Eukaryota, Metazoa, Chordata, Lepidosauria, Squamata, Lacertidae. The record is from RefSeq and is a predicted model, not a curated record.
ACUACUUAUCUUCCAGAAUGAAAGAAUGCAGUGUACCAAUAAAGAAAUCAUGCUGUUCUUGGCAGCAGAGGCUUUACUUUGAUAUUUCCAAUCUCAGCUUUCACAUGCCUCACCAGCACUGACUUCUAGAUUGCUCACCUGCUGUCACUGAAGACACUUCCCCUCCAAUCCUGUACCACUUAAAAACUCAAGUGUACAAGUGUUUAAGUAUUCACACAGAAGAGCAAAAACACAUUUGGAAAAAAAGAUGGGAUGCACCUCUGAAUGAAGACCUGCGAAAGUGAGAGAAACUGAAAAUAGUUGCAGUCAUCCAUCUCUGUGGCAAUUCAUCCUUACCACAAUUCAGUAAAAUAUGCCAUAAGUAUUAUAACCAUGUUAACAGAGAAGAGGCCAGUGACUGAUAAGCAGUGCUUUGCCUAGAUAUUGGUCUUUAGCUGGUGGGUUGGCAUGCACUAGUGAGCUGAGGCCUGAUCCAAGGUGGGUCAUAAUAGGACCACUAACGCCAUGCCGAAAUUUAAGAAACAUUUUACCCUAAAGUAUCUCUUACUACGGCAUGUCAUUUUCAUACCUCAUGAUGUCUGGACAGUUUUAUCCUAAAGUAUCUCCUACUAUGUUUUGUUAACUGUGUUGUGCUUUGAUCCAUGUAUAUGUAGCACUUUU